Long non-coding RNA from Papaver somniferum (opium poppy), 716 nucleotides. RefSeq lists it as uncharacterized. The record is from RefSeq and is a predicted model, not a curated record. The transcript is spliced from 3 exons. Lineage: Eukaryota; Viridiplantae; Streptophyta; Magnoliopsida; Ranunculales; Papaveraceae.
UCUAAAUUUUUUAGUCCCAAUGAUUCAGUGGCUUCGACGCCAACUUUAUUUACUUCUUUCAUUCUCACUCAUAUUUAAUAUAUCCUGCAAAUAAAACUCAGUCACUGACAUCUGGUGUCUUUUUUCAACUUCUAAAUGUGCACUUCACAAUUUGUGGCCACACCCAAAGGAAAACAGAAUACUUCUACAAUGUUUUUAUGUCUCGGUCAACUACAGGCUUUCGGUCGUUGUUAAAAGAGCAUAAUUGGUGUUGCUAGGGAAAAGCAGUGGCAGAACGAGCAGCAUGGGAGGUAUCAAAAGAGAAGAGAGUAUAUUUAGAAGUAAUGAAAACUCAUGCUGAGGGAACAUAUCUAUCGAUCUCGUAGAGUCCACUGGAACCUACAUCGCAGUCUCGAGGUUUCGUGCGCAAAUCUUUUGCCACCUUCUGUUCUCAGCCGAGGUGUUGGUUGGCAGGUUAAUUGGAUGAUGCUCUGCUGCAGCAAGUUUGGAGCAGAAAGGUUGGAGAACAAGGCAGUCCUUAGGUUGAAAAGCAGCUGCAAUUUCCGUCAGUAAGAACUGAACUUAGGUUAAAAGUGUAUUCGAUGAUAGAACAAACUUCAGUUAGAUGAAUUUGUGAACAUAGGAAUUUCUAUGAACUGAACUUAGGAUUCCCGUGUAUUCCCUUUGUUUUUGAUACUUAGAAGAAAAUUUGAGUACUUAGAAGAACAAAAUUUGGU